UCUUCGGAGAGUUUGAUCCUGGCUCAGGACGAACGCUGGCGGCGUGCCUAAUACAUGCAAGUCGAGCGAAUCGAUGGGAGCUUGCUCCCUGAGAUUAGC
This 99-nucleotide ribosomal RNA is filed under the name Peribacillus simplex. RNAcentral describes it as "partial 16S ribosomal RNA". It matches the Rfam family "Bacterial small subunit ribosomal RNA", at positions 1 to 96 of the family's 1533-position model. The record is from RNAcentral. RNAcentral also lists the same sequence under 2 other names. Lineage: Bacteria; Bacillati; Bacillota; Bacilli; Caryophanales; Bacillaceae.